GCAUUCUGCCGUGUCCUGCCCUGACCCUCCAUCGGUUUCAGCUGUCACCAGCUGUCCCUUGCCCUGCCUUGUGAGCUGUGUGAAACCAAACAAGAGUAAAUACAGCAUGAAAGUGUGAAUGGCCUGUGCUGCAGACCACCCUCAGGCUCCCUCCAAGAGCAGAAGCCUGGAGUCAGCAGCUCUGGAGACCUGUGCCAGCUCCAGGCGGGACGACCUGCUCCACACACCUGCAAAAUCCUUGCAUGGCUGGGGGGACCAGGAUCUCUAAAGCAGCCAGUGUGGAGUGGGGCAGAGAAAGGCCAGCCCUCCGAGGUCUCUGUAGUUUUCAAAUGGAUAGACUUGGACUUCAAGGCAAGCAGUGCUCACUGAGCACCCUGCCUUCCUCUUCCCAGGGGAGCAUUGGAAUGGGGAUGAUCUUCCUCAGCUUUCUCUUGUGAUGCCUCAGAAGUUAGAGAAGGGCUGGAAGUGCAGAAAGCUGAGAUAAGAGCCCUACCCCUUCCUUGGUGCGGUGAGCACGGUACGGAGGAUGAAGAGGAACUCAAGGUACAACCACGAGGACUUAGCUGGGUCUUUCCAGCAGUUAUCAAAAACAAAUAUGUCUCGUCUGUUUCCUGUCUUGAAAAGGAGGAGCAUGAGAGCCAUGGAGUGAAAUGCUCAGUGAUGUUGGGGGCAGUCACAGCCUCAGCCACUGAGAUACCUGCCCACACCCACAGCUCUGGCAAUAAACUGCUGACUACAACGAAUAUUAUAAAAAUUCCUCCCUGGAUGCCAUAGACACGUUGAUGGUUUUGCAUAUGUUGAAAACUCCCUGGCUAAUGACAUAUUUCCUCUUCAGGCUGACUCAUGAGCUGCUUCUCCUUGUUGCUAUGAAAGUUGGAAGCACUUCAAUGCUGCGUGCUGCAAGUACAUUUCGUGAAAAGAGAGGAAAAUCUCAGUAUUAUUUCUGGAUUCACAGAUUUGACCCUUUCACUUUUGCAGUAAGUGAGCUAUGCCACUUUGACAUUUAUUAAAUAGUAUGUUAGUGGCAGAAGGAAUGACAAUAAAAUUUGUGUGUAUAAUUUAAAGCAAACAAUCUCCACUCUUAAUCCGGCCUUCAAGGCCUGAAGUAAACAACUGCAUUUCAAGGGAAAGCUACUGAGAAAAGGAAAGGUCUGUUGGGUGCUACUUGCUUUUAAGCAUUGAGACAGAGUGUUUAACAGACUAAAAGCUCUAAGCCCCACUUGUUAUGGGGAGAUAACAGCUCUAUUAAUUAGAUGAUCAAGUAUUACUUUAUUGGUAAAUUCUUGCAUUGGCCUGGAAUGGCUUGUGCUUGCUUGUGAGACAUGUAAUUUGAUUCUUUUGAGCAUUUAUAAUAUUCCAGUAGAUUAUUUAAUGUAAAUGCCUCAAUUGUUUAAUUUAAGUAAUAUUUGCAUCAAUGUUAUGUGAUUAUGACCUGGUUUGGGAUAUUUAUCUGUGCUGAUUUUCAGCAGCUCUCAGCAAAAAAUAAAAGGUCUUUUCAUGAUGUACAAGUUUGA
This is a non-coding RNA of Cyanistes caeruleus (blue tit), 1514 nucleotides long. NCBI's taxonomy places the organism in Eukaryota, Metazoa, Chordata, Aves, Passeriformes, Paridae. The record is from RefSeq and is a predicted model, not a curated record.